Molecule: ribosomal RNA, 50 nt
Filed under: uncultured Symbiodinium
Lineage: Eukaryota; Dinophyceae; Suessiales; Symbiodiniaceae
Description: partial Eukaryotic large subunit ribosomal RNA
Source: RNAcentral
CGCAAUGUGAUUUCUGCCCAGUGCUCUGAAUUUCUUCACUUUGACAUUCA